GCAACGAUUGGGCGUUCAUACCUCUGCCCUCUCUGUCCUAAGCAGUGUACACAUUCUAGUUGGAUUUUGUUGAUAGCUUCGCAUGGAAUCUGAAGCACUGUAAGGAGGAACUCUCUAACUACAGAUUCAGGAACUUCUCCAUCUUUCUCUUGGAUACCUGGCUAUCUUCUGUAUACCGUUGGGCCAGGAACUGAAAGGUAGAUCGAAUCCCCGAGCUGACAAGUGACACUGACUCUGAAUGGGAGCCCCCAGUGCCAAGGUGUCCAUCCCCCACUGAAGCUGGUUCAUCCAGCUCCUGCCACAAGUGGUGUUCAUCUGACCAAAUGUAUUUCUGCAGGCAUGGAUGUGCUAUGGCACCUGGCAUCAGCAGCAUAAUAUUGUGUAGAGGACUGAGGGUCUUCCAAAUAUUGAAAAUGUUAUUUUGUAAAUGUGUAUAUAUUUUUUUCAUGUUUUUUCUCCAUUUUGUUGGGGGGGUGUUAGAAUACCAUUUUGGUAUUUUGUAUAUAGUUAUUCCAUUCAAAAUGUAUAACUUCACCAAUUUGGCCACUUGGGUACAUUUGGGCUACUUGUGUGGGACACCUGGGUGACUUCAUGAUAAAUGUCAUGUAACACACUCAUUUUGAAAGUUAUCAUUCUGAAACUUUGCACACGUACUGUUGCCCUCAUGUUUUUCACAGAAAUUUUCCCCAUCAUCCUAUCUGAAUGUU
Molecule: long non-coding RNA, 707 nt
Organism: Oncorhynchus tshawytscha (Chinook salmon)
Lineage: Eukaryota; Metazoa; Chordata; Actinopteri; Salmoniformes; Salmonidae
Source: Ensembl